This 377-nucleotide long non-coding RNA is filed under the name Medicago truncatula (barrel medic). Its description in RNAcentral is "long non-coding RNA (MTRU_LNC004321)". Lineage: Eukaryota; Viridiplantae; Streptophyta; Magnoliopsida; Fabales; Fabaceae. The record is from RNAcentral.
CACACUUGAAAUUCAUCCAAACCCAAACCCAACAUUCUCUCUCUCUCUCUCUCUCUCUAACCUCUCUCUCUUCAAUGGCUUCUCUUCCCACUUUCUCUCCACACUCUCUCCUCCCCAAACCCAACACCACAACACUCUUUCCCCAUUCAACCUCACCAUCCCACACUCUCUCUCUAACCUCUCUCUUUAGAACCAAACUCACUCUCCAACGACCCAUUUCUUCAACGGGUUCUAUCUCCAUCACUAACUUCCGUGCCACUUCAGAAACGGUGCCUUUUAAUCUCCCCACUGAUUCGUAAGUUGUUUGGUUUCAUCAAUUUUCUUCUGGGUCGGUUUUAAUUUGCUUAAAGUUUCUAUCUUUUUUGUUUUUUUUUUUU